CAGCACUGCACCUUUAUGUUGCUCAUGCCAGCUUCCCUCCCAAAUCUGGCUGGAAACAUUCCUGCAUUCCCCAUGAGGUCAGCUUGUACCUGCUGAGGGCUUGGCCCCAUUUUAUAGAGCUUUUCCAUGAGGUGUGCCCUGGGAAUGCCCUCCCCUGGGCUGUGGCAACAGUGCUUGGAGAUGAGCAGUGCUGGUGCCUUCAGGAGGCUGAGCAAGUUGAGGUGCUGGGUGAUUUGCACCUGGAAUUUCUGUUCUUUUCUGCUCCUUGCUGGGGUUUGGAGGCAGACUGAAGCCAGACAAGAAAGGGCAGAUGCGUCUCCCCCUCGACAAGUCUCUGCAGGAAGCAAAAUGUUGCCCUCCGCUGUUUGCAGCGUUGCUGGAACAGAGAACUCGCUGCGUCCGAGCCAGUCCAGUGCUUUACUCCAGUGUCACAUCCCUGGCACUGGUCAGGGGAUUUGGAGAGAGACGACUCCCACCCAGCCCACAGAUGCUGCAAAGACCUGA
RNAcentral lists this long non-coding RNA (504 nucleotides) under Junco hyemalis (dark-eyed junco). RNAcentral describes it as "lncRNA (ENSJHYG00000007331.1)". Lineage: Eukaryota; Metazoa; Chordata; Aves; Passeriformes; Passerellidae. The record is from RNAcentral.